RNAcentral lists this ribosomal RNA (253 nucleotides) under uncultured bacterium. Its description in RNAcentral is "partial 16S ribosomal RNA". It matches the Rfam family "Bacterial small subunit ribosomal RNA", at positions 524 to 776 of the family's 1533-position model. The record is from RNAcentral.
UACGUAGGUGGCAAGCGUUGUCCGGAUUUACUGGGCGUAAAGAGCGCGCAGGCGGUCGUUCAAGUCGCGUGUGAAAGCCCCCGGCUCAACUGGGGAGGGUCACGCGAUACUGAUCGACUCGAAGGCAGGAGAGGGAAGUGGAAUUCCCGGUGUAGUGGUGAAAUGCGUAGAUAUCGGGAGGAACACCAGUGGCGAAGGCGACUUACUGGACACAUAUUGACGCUGAGGUGCGAAAGCGUGGGGAGCAAACAGG